CCUACGGGAUGCAGCAGUAGGGAAUCUUCCACAAUGGGCGAAAGCCUGAUGGAGCAACGCCGCGUGGGUGAAGAAGGUCUUCGGAUCGUAAAACCCUGUUGUUAGAGAAGAAAGUGCGUGAGAGUAACUGUUCACGUUUCGACGGUAUCUAACCAGAACGCCACGGCUAACUACGUUCCAGCAGCCGCGGUAAUCCGUAGGUGGCAAGCUUUAUCCGGAUUUAUUUGGCGUAAAGGGAACGCAGGCGGUCUUUUAAGUCUGAUGUGAAAGCCUUCGGCUUAACCGGAGUAGUGCAUUGGAAACUGGGAGACUUGAGUGCAGAAGAGGAGAGUGGAACGCCAUGUGUAGCGGUGAAAUGCGUAGAUAUAUGGAAGAACACCAGUGGCGAAAGCGGCUCUCUGGUCUGUAACUGACGCUGAGGUUCGAAAGCGUGGGUAGCAAACAGGAUUAGAUACCCUAGUAGUC
RNAcentral lists this ribosomal RNA (465 nucleotides) under uncultured bacterium. RNAcentral describes it as "partial 16S ribosomal RNA". It matches the Rfam family "Bacterial small subunit ribosomal RNA", at positions 338 to 795 of the family's 1533-position model. The record is from RNAcentral.